CCUACGGGAGGCAGCAGUCGAGAAUCAUUCACAAUGGGGGAAACCCUGAUGGUGCGACGCCGCGUGGGGGAAUGAAGGUCUUCGGAUUGUAAACCCCUGUCAUGUGGGAGCAAAUUAAAAAGAUAGUACCACAAGAGGAAGAGACGGCUAACUCUGUGCCAGCAGCCGCGGUAAUACAGAGGUCUCAAGCGUUGUUCGGAAUCACUGGGCGUAAAGCGUGCGUAGGCUGUUUCGUAAGUCGUGUGUGAAAGGCGCGGGCUCAACCCGCGGACGGCACAUGAUACUGGGAGACUAGAGUAAUGGAAGGGGAACGCGAAAUGUGGGUGUAGCAGGGAAAAGCG
RNAcentral lists this ribosomal RNA (341 nucleotides) under uncultured bacterium. Its description in RNAcentral is "partial 16S ribosomal RNA". It matches the Rfam family "Bacterial small subunit ribosomal RNA", at positions 338 to 690 of the family's 1533-position model. The record is from RNAcentral.